GUAAAGUCGGGAAUUCCAAAAUUCUCUUCUGAGUAACAGAGGCCGAGGAGAACACAGGGGAGGCAAGAAGCUCCGGGGAAGGGAUGCUAAGGGAAAGCUCGAGCCGAGCUGUCUCCGCUCUGCAGUGUCCAGCACAGCAGGAAGACCUUCAGACCUCCCGUCUGACGACAGCGCCUGACUCCUGUGUCCUGGCCAGCUGCAAACUUCCGGGCAGGCUUGUCCCCAGGUGGGGGACAGAAGGCAGCAAGAAGCAUCCUCAGGGUCUGAUACAGUUGUCGGGGUCCUUGCCCGAAACGCUGAAAGCUCAAACAUGUUUGGAAGCCCACAGCACCAGGCCUAGCCCUGAGCCCACCUCCUCAGACUCCCAGGUGAGCAGAUGGGUCCCAGAGGCGCCGGGCGCUUGCUGUGUGUUCGUGUUUGGCCUGCUUUCCUGUGUUCCUGAGAGACUGGGCCUCUGAGCACCAGCGCAGUGCUGAAGUCCCGGAGUUUCCUUGACUCAGAGAAAGGUCACCCCUGAGCAGCUGUGGACCUGACUGCUGAUCACAAAGCCGCUGCUCUCCAAGGGACUGCGCCGCUGGACCCGAGACCACCCGCUCGCCACUCAGAAGCCAAUGCUCGGGAGAUCAGUGGACAGGAAGGAGAGCGGGCGCCAUGGUCCCCCAGCAAGCCUCGUUAGGGGACCCAGGUAGCAGAAGUGGAAAGAGAGCUCCAGGGCCAAGGGCAGGAGGCCGGGCGGGCGUGUGCUGAGGGCCUCUGGUCAUCGGGGCCUGAGUUUUCCUUUCUCUCCUGCCAGAACGCCCUGGAGACAACAAUCGACUUUCUUCUCUUAGGCCAGUCCCUGUAAUUCUUUAGAAAAGGGGCUAUCUCCUUGAACAGUAAACACUGUUUCACUUUAAAGAACAGGAUUGGCCAGUCCCUGCCCAUGCUUGGGUGUUAUCUGAAGAUGUCAGAUGUCGCAGUCUGUGGGAGGCUGGAGGAUCGCUGAUCAGGGCUGCUUUUCCUGCAGUAGCUGAGCCCAGCAGUUAGUGUCUUAGCCAGACAAAGGUGGUUUUCUUUGGCACUUACAACCCUGGGCAAAGGGAGACACAAAUAUAAUAGGACAAGGGGCAGUUUGCACAGGCGAGCUAACCUAGAGGAGGGUGGGUAAGACACAGUGGUGUUGCCAUUAUUUACACACUGCUGGAUCCCCGGGAAGCCUCCUUCCUCCUGGCCCAGCCCCAGGGCUUGUCCCUGCUGCACCCUAGGAGUCCUGUGCCAGACAGGUGGCUGUGUCUGAUGGAGGCAAACUGGGCCCAACGUGGCACCUGGCACAUUGCGGCCUCGGGCAGAAGACAGGGCUAGAGGAGGCCCAGGUGCGGUGUGGGAGUGAGACUGGAGACCAGGCACAGGAGCAGGGGCCAGAAGCAGGCAGGAAGUGGGCAGGAAGCAGGCAGGAAGUGAAUGGGAAGCAGGCAGGAAGUGGAAGGAAACAGGCAGGAAGUGAAUGGGAAACAGGCAGGAAGUGUGUGGGAAGCAGACAGGAAGUAUGUGGGAAACAGGAAGUGGGCAGGAAGCAGGUGGAAAACCUCUCCCCCAUGGAAAUCAUCUGAGCCCCCUGGUGGGGGAGUUGGGAUGGAGGAAGUCUGGAAUCCACGUGGAAACCUCACUUUAGGGAAGUGUGGUGAAGAGCUCAGUGCUGAGACAGCUGCCCAUGGACGGUGGGCCUGGUUGUUGGUGGGACGGGGGUACAUUUUUGUCUCCCCAACCCCUCCCCAAGGCUGAGACUUUGCUUCAGACCCUUGGUGCUGUGUGUUGAAUGUGUUUCCCAAGGGUUCACUUUUAGAAACCGAG
Molecule: long non-coding RNA, 1830 nt
Organism: Heterocephalus glaber (naked mole-rat)
Lineage: Eukaryota; Metazoa; Chordata; Mammalia; Rodentia; Bathyergidae
Source: Ensembl